AAUAUUGCACAAUGGAGGAAAGUCUGAUGCAGCGACGCCUCGCGCGUGAUGAAGGCUUUCGAUUCGUAACACUCUGUCCUAGGGGACGAUAAUGACGGUACCCUAGGCGGAAGUCCCGGCUAACUACGUGCCCGCAGCCGCGGUAAUACCUAGGGGGCGAGCGUUGUCCGGAAUUAUUUGGCGUAAAGGGUUCGCAGGCGGCCGUUGAAGUCAGAUGUGAAAGAUCACGGCUCAACCGUGGUAAGCAUUUGAAACUGGAAGGCUUGAGUUAAGGAGAGGAAAGUGGAAUUCCUAGUGUAGCGGUGAAAUGCGUAGAUAUUAGGAGGAAUAACAGUGGCGAAGGCGACUUUCUGGACUUAUACUGACGCUGAGGAACGAAAGCGUGGGGAGCAAACA
Molecule: ribosomal RNA, 396 nt
Filed under: uncultured bacterium
Lineage: Bacteria
Description: partial 16S ribosomal RNA
Rfam family: Bacterial small subunit ribosomal RNA
Source: RNAcentral